AUUGAACGCUGGCGGCAUGCCUUACACAUGCAAGUCGAACGGUAACAGGUUAAGCUGACGAGUGGCGAACGGGCGAGUAAUGUAUCGGAACGUGCCCAGUCGUGGGGGAUAACUGCUCGAAAGAGCAGCUAAUACCGCAUACGACCUGAGGGUGAAAGCGGGGGAUCGCAAGACCUCGCGCGAUUGGAGCGGCCGUGAUCAGAUUAGGUAGUUGGUGAGGUAAAGGCUCACCAAGCCGACGAUCUGUAGCUGGUCUGAGAGGACGACCAGCCACACUGGGACUGAGACACGGCCCAGACUCCUACGGGAGGCAGCAGUGGGGAAUUUUGGACAAUGGGCGCAAGCCUGAUCCAGCCAUGCCGCGUGCGGGAAGAAGGCCUUCGGGUUGUAAACCGCUUUUGUCAGGGAAGAAAAGGUUCUGGCUAAUACCUGGGCCUCAUGACGGUACCUGAAGAAUAAGCACCGGCUAACUACGUG
RNAcentral lists this ribosomal RNA (477 nucleotides) under uncultured bacterium. RNAcentral describes it as "partial 16S ribosomal RNA". It matches the Rfam family "Bacterial small subunit ribosomal RNA", at positions 30 to 507 of the family's 1533-position model. The record is from RNAcentral.